Molecule: ribosomal RNA, 919 nt
Filed under: Cophinforma atrovirens
Lineage: Eukaryota; Fungi; Ascomycota; Dothideomycetes; Botryosphaeriales; Botryosphaeriaceae
Description: partial large subunit ribosomal RNA
Rfam family: Eukaryotic large subunit ribosomal RNA
Source: RNAcentral
UCAUCCGGGGGUAAGAACACAGGGAUUGCCCUAGUAACGGCGAGUGAAGCGGCAACAGCUCAAAUUUGAAAUCUGGCCCUUUUGGGGUCCGAGUUGUAAUUUGUAGAGGAUGUUUCGGCGUUGGCUCCUGUCUAAGUUCCCUGGAACGGGCCGUCAUAGAGGGUGAGAAUCCCGGAUGCGGGCGGAUGCCUUUUCCAUGUGAAUCCCCUUCGACAAGUCUAGUUGUUUGGGAAUGCAGCUCUAAAUGGGAGGUAAAUUUCUUCUAAAGCUAAAUACCGGCCAGAGACCGAUAGCGCACAAGUAUAGUGAUCGAAAGAUGAAAAGCACUUUGGAAAGAGAGUCAAAAAGAACGUGAAAUUGUUGAAAGGGAAACGCUUGCAACCAGACUUGUCCGCACAUGCUCAGCCGUUCUCUUGACCGGUGCACUCUUCUGAGGGCAGGCCAGCAUCAGUUCGGGCGGUCGGACAAAGGCCUCUGUAAUGCGUCUCCUCCCGAGGAGUGUUCUUGCCAGGCGUGCUGUGACCACCCUCGGGUGUGGGGCGCCCGCUUGGUUGGGGGUGUGGGGGAAGUGUGUGAGCGGGCCCCCCCUAAAAACACAGCCAACGGACUUUCAUAUCUGUGCGAGUGUGGGUGUCCCGCACCCGCGCGCAAAGAAAAAGAGAGCAGGGGGGGGAACCCCCGUGGGCCCUCCAUCGAUCCAGACUGAUUUCUUCGGAUGGAUUUGAGAACAAACCUAUCUGGGACGCACACACAAAGAGGGAUAUCUAUGACUGAAUAGGGACACAGACAGAACACACUCUGGGGGGACGCUCGCAGCUCAUCUGACAUACAAAUCGAUAUCUGAGUUUGGGGGUAGGGAGAGAAUAACUAAUCUAUCCCUCUAUGGGGUCGUCCCCGCAGAACUCUCCCGAAAAAUAAA